Etheostoma cragini (Arkansas darter) is the source of this 374-nucleotide long non-coding RNA. RefSeq lists it as uncharacterized. The transcript has 3 exons. The record is from RefSeq and is a predicted model, not a curated record. Lineage: Eukaryota; Metazoa; Chordata; Actinopteri; Perciformes; Percidae.
UAAUUUAGUCCCGCUUUUACCUGCGCGGCAAACGGGCGUCACUUUGUAACACGUGUUAUAAUGCUCGCCUAGCUGCUAGCGUGGAACCCCCUCAUACUCUGACUGGGUAGUUGUCCUUACCUAGCUACUGCACAUGUGCAAGUCCCAACAAAGAUGGAAAAGAAGUGAGAUGCCUCACUCUGUAGCCAAAACGGAGAUCUCAACACACAGGGUAAAAAGAAGAGAAGCAGCAAUGUGUAUUAAACAAAAAUAUAUUUUUUGAAAAUAAACCUUAUAAACCUACUCUGAUAUAACCUCUAAGUACAAUUACGAACCUGAAAUUGAUCAUAAUAAGCACUUUAACAGCAUUUCAACUUUUGACUAAGUCACAAAAU